GAAGAUUUCCGAAUGGGACAACCCGGCCGUCUGAAGGACGGUCACUCACGCUAAGCGUGAGAGCUAACGCAGGGAACUGAAACAUCUUAGUACCUGUAGGAAGAGAAAAUAAAUAAUGAUUCCCUUAGUAGUGGCGAGCGAACGGGGAACAGCCCAAACCGUGACUGUGGCAACGCAGCCGCGGGGUAGUAGGACCGCGACAUUGUAUGCAUGCAGUGAGCAGAAUCUUCUGGAAAGAAGAACCGCAGAUGGUGAAAGUCCAGUAUGCGAAACUAAUUGCAACAUAGUGGUAUCCUGAGUAACGCGGAACACGAGGAAUUCUGCGCGAAUCCGCCGGGACCAUCCGGUAAGGCUAAAUACUCCUGUGAGACCGAUAGUGAACCAGUACCGUGAGGGAAAGGUGAAAAGCACUUCGAUAAGAAGAGUGAAAUAGUUCCUGAAACCAUACGCCUACAAGCGGUCGGAGCUGCUUUAUGCAGUGACGGCGUGCCUUUUGCAUAAUGAACCUACGAGUUACCAUCACCAGCAAGGUUAAGGGCCAUAAGUCCCCAAGCCGCAGUGAAAGCGAGCCUGAAUAGGGCGUAUAGUUGGUGGGGGUAGACGCGAAACCAAGUGAUCUACACUUGACCAGGUUGAAGUUCCGGUAACACGGAAUGGAGGACCGCACCAAUAAGCGUUGAAAAGCUUCUGGAUGAGUUGAGUGUAGGAGUGAAAGGCCAAUCAAACUUGGAGAUAGCUCGUACUCCCCGAAAGGCAUUUAGGUGCCGCGUGUGGUGAUCUCCGUAAGAGGUAGAGCGACCGAUAGGUCAAGAGGGCUUCACCGCCUAUCGAGACCUGACGAACUCCGAAUGCUUACGGAUAGCAGCCAUGCAGUAAGGGGGCGGGUGCUAAGGUCCGUCCCCGAGAGGAGAAGAAUCCAGACCGCCGUCUAAGGCCCCGAAAUUCUGUCUGAGUUAGUCUAACGAAGUCUGGUCCCUAUGACAGCUAGGAUGUUGGCUUGGAAGCAGCCAUUCAUUCAAAGAGUGCGUAACAGCUCACUAGUCGAGGGUCCGGGCAUGGAUAAUAAUCGGGUAUAAGGCAGAUGCCGAAGGCGCGGGAUAGUAAUCAUAAAAGUAUCGGUAGGGGAGCAUACCAUGUGCGUAGAAUGGUGAAGAUAACUGAUCCUGGAGCGCAUGGUAAAGCAAAUGUAGGUAUAAGUAACGAUAAGAGGGGUGAGAUUCCCCUCCGCCAUAAGUCUAAGGUUUCCCGGGCAAUGCCAAUCAGCCCGGGGUAAGUCGGGUCCUAAGUCUCAGCCGAAGGGCGAGGGCGAUGGCAGAAACGGUUAAUAUUCCGUUACUACCUUCAGGAGCGAUGUGGAGACGGAGCAGUGACACUGCCGCGGGGCGACGGAAGUCCCCGUUAAAGAGUGUAGGCGUAGAUUGGAGCAGGCAAAUCCACUCCAAGAGCCGACCUU
This 1453-nucleotide ribosomal RNA is filed under the name Segatella salivae. RNAcentral describes it as "partial 23S ribosomal RNA". It matches the Rfam family "Bacterial large subunit ribosomal RNA", at positions 106 to 1563 of the family's 2925-position model. Lineage: Bacteria; Pseudomonadati; Bacteroidota; Bacteroidia; Bacteroidales; Prevotellaceae. The record is from RNAcentral.